RNAcentral lists this ribosomal RNA (253 nucleotides) under uncultured bacterium. RNAcentral's name for it is "partial 16S ribosomal RNA". It matches the Rfam family "Bacterial small subunit ribosomal RNA", at positions 524 to 776 of the family's 1533-position model. The record is from RNAcentral.
UACAGAGGUCUCAAGCGUUGUUCGGAUUCAUUGGGCGUAAAGGGUGCGUAGGCGGCGCGGUAAGUCGGGUGUGAAAUCUCGGGGCUUAACUCCGAAACUGCAUUCGAUACUGCCGUGCUUGAGGACUGGAGAGGAGACUGGAAUUUACGGUGUAGCGGUGAAAUGCGUAGAGAUCGUAAGGAAGACCAGUGGCGAAGGCGGGUCUCUGGACAGUUACUGACACUGAGGCACGAAGGCGAGGGGAGCAAACGGG